CUUAGCUAUGGUGUUUUAGCCAUUUUAGUAAAGCUUUAGAUUUUCUCUUAUUUCCACACUUGCAUCCCCCCUUUGUGGCGUGAGAUAACUUGACUUAGUUUGGUAUAGGUUUCUAGUCUUUCACUUCACAAGAAUCUCUCUGCUUCAAAUUGUGUAUAGCAAGUUAGAAUGGAGUAGAUUAAAAAAAAUAAAAAAUAAAUCCGGUUUUAGACUGAAACAGUGCACAGGGUCGUGGCGUCGGGCAGUACAAAGAUAGUGUAAAUAGCAAGUCACGUCGCCAGACAGAGCCCAUCGGGGCAGGUUACGGUGCGGGAGCUCGUUGGCACAGAAGAGGCGCGGUUGCUGGAGCUUGUUGAGGGUCGCGGCAGGAGAAUGAGCUGCGGCGGUGUGGAGUGCUAGUGGGGCACCGGGCUGCGGUUAUUUCUUUUUAUUGUGUUGGGUGUUGUACAAGGUGUGGUGCGGGACAAGGCACUGUCCGCACGGCGUCCAAUUUUUUUUGUGCGCUACAAUUGCGAUGCGACGCAGAAGGGCCUCUGGCGAGAUUAGAACUUGUUUCCGUUGCUUGGUGCCUCGCAAUAUUGACAUGGUUUCAUUUGCACGAGAUAUGUUGCUCGCUGUCGUCUGGAUUAUUGUGUGACGAUAGGAUACUGAACAAGGUGUAAGGUCAAUAACACCCGUAGUCAUAGGACCAUAACGAUGAUAGAGCCACGGUGAAAGGAUUCUACGGUAAAUACACCUUGCGCGGUUAUAGGCACAAUAUUUAAAUAAAAAAUAUAAAUAUAAAUAUAAAUAAACACAUCAUCCAGAAUUCUUAAGUGUUAAGUUUGGAAGCUCACUCCAAGGGCAUAUGGAGUCCAAAUUUGAUUAUUUUUGAGUCAAUUUUAUGUGGAAGAGGCCCAAGAAGUCUAUUGGCAUGUUUGGAGUGAGUUCAAUUUUUAGAGGUCAUUUGGAGCAUUGAAGUGGCAUUUACUAAAUAUUGAUUGCUUUCUAAAUGAGUUUUUGAUUUUCUCUCACUUCUCCACAUUUCUUUUUAUUGCAAUUAUCUUUUAUUAUCACA
This 1057-nucleotide long non-coding RNA is filed under the name Physcomitrium patens. RNAcentral describes it as "long non-coding RNA (PPAT_LNC009031)". The record is from RNAcentral. Lineage: Eukaryota; Viridiplantae; Streptophyta; Bryopsida; Funariales; Funariaceae.